RNAcentral lists this long non-coding RNA (1047 nucleotides) under Anser brachyrhynchus (Pink-footed goose). RNAcentral's name for it is "lncRNA (ENSABRG00000003788.1)". The record is from RNAcentral. Lineage: Eukaryota; Metazoa; Chordata; Aves; Anseriformes; Anatidae.
AUGCGCUUUCAGCUCUCAUCAGCGGCACAGACGUGGUGCAAGGUUACAGAUCUCCCUGGGGCAACGUUUUCUGUUCGGGCAGAUGAAGGUUUGUCUCCGAGGUGUUUGAAAAAUGCAGCUGUGGGGUUUCAGUCCUCAGCCUCCUUCCAGCUGAGCCCCAGCCCCCCUCCCAAGCCACGGCGCGGCCGGUUUCUUGCGCACACCUGCAGCAGCAGCGGCUUCCUCACGCUGCCGGGGAAGGAGUGGCAGCAGCUAGACGCUGCCCUGACUGCUGGUGCUGAGUGUCCGGGACCGCCGGGAUCGCUGCAGUGGCCUCUGGAAUAGAGCGAGGAGAAGGGGCUGCAGCAGGCCUGAGACAUGCCUUGUGCCACCAGCCAGCCCACGUUUUUUGGAUAAAGCUGUAAAUGUCGGGACUGUGACUGCCGCCCCAAGUUCUCCCCUUCACACAGAGGUUUCUUGACUGCUCCUUGUGCUUCCUCUCACCUGUCAGCCCCCCCUCUUCACACACCUAAAAUCACGAUGGCAGCACCAGCCUUACAUUAGCCAGGAUCCCCUCCCAUCAGCUCCUUCCCUGUGCUGCAGCUCCCAGAUCUGAAAAUACCCCCCGGGAGGCCACAAGCUUAACAAAUACCUGCGAAGCGCGCAAGGCCUCCUCCUAAAGCCUGGGCAUGCUGAGCGUUACUGCCAAACAGGUGCCAAAUGUUUCAGCCCCCCCCCCCCCAAUUAUUUUUACAAGCUCUUGAGCUGUCUGUCACAGGAAGAUGUCACAAGGAGACUGAAGUUCUCUGAAAGAGAGGGAAAGGUGCCCAGAUCAAAGACGCUGACAAAUGCAGCCUGUGACAGCAAUUGCUGGAUUACAGUUUUUAAAACCUUAUGUUUCGCAUCUGGUUUAUCGUGGCUGUUGUAGGUGGGCUCAAUGCAUGGUAAAUCAGGAUAACAAACCUACAUUUACCAUGAUCCUUUCGUCUCCUAGUAUUCCAAAGCACAUCAUUUAAUUGCACUCAACCUGCACAUAGAUUUCAUAAAUAAAGGAAUGAUGAAUUAGCA